GUUGUACUCCCUUCGUUUGGAAUUAUUUGUCUCGGAAACGGAUGUAUCUAGAAUUAAAAUAUGUCUAGAUACAUCCAUUUCUACGACAAGUAAUUCCGAACGGAGGGAGUAGCUA
Triticum urartu is the source of this 115-nucleotide non-coding RNA. The record is from Rfam. Lineage: Eukaryota; Viridiplantae; Streptophyta; Magnoliopsida; Poales; Poaceae.